RNAcentral lists this transfer RNA (65 nucleotides) under Anopheles aff. konderi B PGF-2018. RNAcentral describes it as "tRNA-Tyr". It matches the Rfam family "tRNA". Rfam says of the family: Transfer RNA (tRNA) molecules are approximately 80 nucleotides in length. Their secondary structure includes four short double-helical elements and three loops (D, anti-codon, and T loops). Further hydrogen bonds mediate the characteristic L-shaped molecular structure. tRNAs have two regions of fundamental functional importance: the anti-codon, which is responsible for specific mRNA codon recognition, and the 3' end, to which the tRNAs corresponding amino acid is attached (by aminoacyl-tRNA synthetases). tRNAs cope with the degeneracy of the genetic code in two manners: having more than one tRNA (with a specific anti-codon) for a particular amino acid; and 'wobble' base-pairing, i.e. permitting non-standard base-pairing at the 3rd anti-codon position. The record is from RNAcentral. Lineage: Eukaryota; Metazoa; Arthropoda; Insecta; Diptera; Culicidae.
GAUUAAAUGGCUGAAGUUUAGGCAAUAAAUUGUAAAUUUAUUUAUGGGAAGUAUCUCUUUAAUCA